Molecule: ribosomal RNA, 253 nt
Filed under: uncultured bacterium
Lineage: Bacteria
Description: partial 16S ribosomal RNA
Rfam family: Bacterial small subunit ribosomal RNA
Source: RNAcentral
UACAGAGGUCUCAAGCGUUGUUCGGAUUCAUUGGGCGUAAAGGGUGCGUAGGCGGCGCGGUAAGUCGGAUGUGAAAUCUCGGAGCUUAACUCCGAAACUGCAUUCGACACUGCCGUGCUUGAGGACUGGAGAGGAGACUGGAAUUUACGGUGUAGCGGUGAAAUGCGUAGAUAUCGUAAGGAAGACCAGUGGCGAAGGCGGGUCUCUGGACAGUUCCUGACGCUGAGGCACGAAGGCCAGGGGAGCAAACGGG